GAGAGAGAGAGAGAGAGAGAGAGAGAGAGAGAGAGACGGACAGACAGAGAAACUGGUAGGUAUGAAGGUGCGGUGUGUGUGUGUGCAUGUAUGUGUGUGCGCGUGCGUGUGUGUGUGAGUGUGUGUGUGUGUGUGUGUGUGUGUGCGCGUGUGUUCCCUGUUGCAGGGAGAGUUUUCCGCUCCCUGCUGGACAAGAGGAUGUGCUGCUACAAUGUGGUGGCUGCUGAUAAGAGCCUCAAAGCUGCCUGUGGCCUACAGAUAAGAAACCUCCACUGCCCCCCACCCACAAUACCAACACCAAGUCCCCACCACCACAACAAUCACACACACUUUUCAUAACACACAGACAGCUUGAGGUAUGCACACGCGUGCGCAGACACACACACACGCACAUGCUUCUCAUGGUCAGUAGUAGACUGAUUGGAUUGCAAUCAGCCUACUGCACACACCUCGUUCAUACAUGAUUAUGCUCGUACUAAAAAUAUGGGAGUAUAUUAAAAAAAAACAGCAACUUGAUUAUUGCUUUGACACUCAGGUGAAAACAGGAACAUGUAUGUGAUUAUACAGUACAAUACAGAUCUGUUCUAAAAAUAAGCAAUAGGCGUCAAUGCUAAUGCGACUGUCUUGUUUUAAUGUUAGCUAUAGUAUAGGUGCAAUAAAAAAGAGCAGGACUCACCUAUUGUACAAAUACGUGGCAAACUUCCUUGUGCAGUUGAGACAGUUCGGAGAGAGGUCCUUUUGAGAAAAUUUGAAGUUUUUAGGUGGGCCUAAUAGUUCAAAAAAUACGGUAUUCCAUACGUACACACUGGUAAAAAAAAAAAACAUCUUAUAGCUCCAAAAAAAUGAGAGCAUGAUAGAGAAAAACAGUUUUGGAUUCUGCACCCUAAAAUAGCUGUCAGGAAAAACAAAAUGGCGUUCCCCAGUGUAAUCUGCCGAUGUUCGUCAGGGAGCUAAAGUGUGUCUGUGUGUGUUUGUGUGUGUCUCACAGGAUGGAACAUUUUUCAUUCAUGGUACUUGAGUGGGAAUUUGGGAUGUGUUGGCAUUGAGCACCUGUGUCGCUGAUGGCCAAUAAGCGUCGUCAUCAUGGCCACUUUCCUCUCCAACUUCCUUCCUAAAUGUGCCUCAUCAUAGCUGCUCUUUGUUCUCGGGCGAGCGAUGGUCGUCUGCUGCUGUCGCAACCUGGAGGUCAGCACCUCUUUUCCAUUCCCUCCGUGGUUUCCUCCUCAGACGCUCACCCGCACACACUCAUGAUGUCCACUCUACUGUAAUGUGACCUUGGAGGUCCUGGGAAAGACAAGGCUUUGCUGAGUAACUGCGUGACAAAUCUGUCAUCAGCACCAUACUGUACCCUGUGCUCGUCAUCAUCAUCAUCAUCAUCAUCAUCAUAAUGGCUGAGGUCCACCGUGUGUCUGCUGGUGGGCCGCUUGUGCGCGGGUGGUCCGGUCCAGAUGGAGGAGGGACGGAUUAACGCCACGCGUCCCCUGAAGGAGAGGUGGGCGGGGCGUAAUCGAGAAAUGGAGACUUCCUGGUUUGGCCUUCACCCGAUGCUGCUUGUUUGGACAUCGCCAGUGUGGAAAAACAACAUUAGUGUGAGUUACCUGCAACUGUUAAAUGUUAUUUUGGUUUAUGCUGUGCUUGUUAGCUUUAUUAGAGUUCAUCUCACCCUGUGUGUUUGUGUGUGUUUGUGUGUGAGUGUAACAACGUUGCUCUUGUGUAGCAGAACGAGUGAAUGUUGUUGCAGUGCACGCUGCACAGGUU
This is a long non-coding RNA of Syngnathus typhle (broad-nosed pipefish), 1758 nucleotides long. RefSeq lists it as uncharacterized. The record is from RefSeq and is a predicted model, not a curated record. Lineage: Eukaryota; Metazoa; Chordata; Actinopteri; Syngnathiformes; Syngnathidae. The transcript is spliced from 3 exons.